AUAGUUUAUUGAAAAGUAAUGAAUGUGAGAGGAAAAAAAUAAUAAAAACGUAGUAGUGGGUUUGGGUGGGGACCAUGAAAGGGGAGAGAUAUUAUAUUUAAAUGUAGCUUUAGUCAAAAAAGAAAGUGUAACACUUAUUAAAAUACGGCCGCAUUUAGUAAGUGUAACGCUUAUCAAAACACGGAGGGAGUACAUCUUAUCAUGAGUUGUCUUUUUUGUAGGGUUGGAUAUACAAGCUCAAAUUUCAUCUGCAUUGUUUAUGUACUUUUAAUGUUAUAUUUUUAAUUAUCUGCAUAGAUAUCUUCUAAUAUACCACCAAGAUGCCUUCUUUAGCAUGUUGCAGCAUUCUUGGGGCUCUCCAAUGAGUGAAUUAUGUUUGCUUUCAAGAAGAACUUGAAUAAGAGGGGAUAUGGGACUUUGACCAGUUAAGUUGUCCAUGCAUUCGACAAGAGUUUUUAUAGGAGUAAUUUGGCUCUUCUUGGACGGUUUUCUAAUGAAUGCCAAAAGGGGCAUUUUGAGAAGGCAGAGAGGAAAUUCUCCAUUGAUGUGGUGUGAAGCUUCUCUGCUCCAUUGAAGUGGCUUGAAGGUUGUUUGUCUGUGUGGGAUUGUAUCGGCGAUGGCUCCAUUGCGGUUGCAAUUUGUGGGCUACAACAAAGUUUUCUUCAGUUCAGGUUUGUUCAACAAGAAGAUAAAGAUUACAGUAUUGAUUGCCGAUGAGAAAUUCAUCUCCUAGAUGUCGACCCCGAUGAAGCUGUAAUUAAAUUACACUUUCAUCUCUUAAACCCUAAUUUUUGCAUUCAAUUUCAAUUUUUCCAAUUGAAUUUCUAAUGGAUCUUAAUUGAAUUUCUCAGGUCAAAAAUGUCAAGGCUUUGGUUGAAGUCGAGGUACAAUUAAAACCACUAAUCUAUCUUUGUUAAUUUGAUCAGAUUGAAUUGUAGUCACUGGUUUUGAUUUGGGGGAGCAGAGUGGGCUGGUGUUGUAGCAGCAACAAUUGAUGUACAAAGGCAAGGAGAUGAAUAAUCAUGACAAACUCAGUGUACUCGGUGUUUGUGAUGGCGAUUUGAUCAUGAUGCUUUCUAAUGCUGCUCCGCCUUCUCGUCCAUUUUCAAUUGACCUGGCCCUCGAUGGUUCUGCUAUGAAUACUGCUGUUUUUCAGCAGCAAUUUCGUGGUGAUUCUUAUCUGAUGUUUCAGUUGUAUGACUUGUAUCAGAGGGAUCCUAAACUUGCUCAAGCCAUAUCUGGGAAUGAUCUAAAUAGACUACAGGAGAUUUUGAGGCAACACCAUCAUCAAAACAACAUUGAGGCAAAAAGAAGAGGAGGAACUUGGACCUUCUAUUCAACGGUUUAUUACCAUUAAGCAUCUUGCGCCUGAUGACCCUGUUGAAGUUCUUGUAAUCCUUCAAAAAUAUGCUCAUUUAGUACAAGGUCUCUGGGUUCCAAAAUCUAGCAUCCGGAAUCCAAAUGCACGUGGACCAGAAAUUUUAGCAACAGAUUAUGCUCUUCUUCUGUUCAGCCAGAGUCCAUUCAUAAAAGACACAAAAUUAGAUGUCCUGGGAUCCCAGAAAUCUACUGGGAAAGUAGUACUAAGAGAAUUAGCUGUUGAGAGACCAUCCUGUAAAGAUUGGAAGUUCAAAGAGGCUACAGAUGUUUCGUUUAUGAAACUCUAUCCAGAUGUUGUCGAGAAGCAAAUGAAGCUAUGGGAAGUUAAUGGGCAACUGAUACAACAAAAAUUUGCCAAUCGUAAAGCAGGGCAAAGUUCGAGAAGCUCCAUCAGAGCUGAAUCCUCAAUGCCUUCUGAUGAAGGUGCUGUAAGAGCAACAACUGUGGCACACUCUGCAAGCACUUCCAUGUCAAAAGAAACUCAAGAAGCCCUACCUAAGGUUUUGAAAAGGCUUUUCCAAUGUCACAAAGUUUGCAGGCUGGGGGAUCCUGCUAAUUGCUAACUGGGAAGUACAUGAUGCAGCCGUAAAUAUACUAUACUAGUUUCAAUCCAGUGCAACCUAUCGAUAGUGAAUUGUUUGAUAAUUACGAAUGACAGUUAUUUUGAGGGUUUCUAGCUUGAUAACGGUAUCAAUUAGCAUGAGUAUUGCCGUAUUGUAAUUUUUCUUAUAUCCCAAACACCCUUUCUCUCCCCGCUUACGGUCGCAUCAGCAAUACCCAAUCAAACUCUCCCUCUCCCUCACUCUUCCACAAUAUUAUGGGUGAUAAUGUUGUAAAACAAUUCCCAAGCUCGACUCAAUCAAGGCUUGACUCAAUUUUGAUGAUCUCAGAUCAAGCAAUUCUUAUAAUUCAACUUGAAAAGCUAACGAGAAGGUCAAAAUUUGUAUGUAUAGUAUAUUCAAUGUUUUUUAUAAACUAAAACAUUUUGAGAUAUUUUGGAUUUUAGUUACUAUUAUCAUAUUGUAUUUGUUUAAUCUUGUUAAUUUACAAAAAUAUAUUUGAUGGAUUUCUGGUAUAAUUCG
RNA transcript from Chenopodium quinoa (quinoa), 2462 nucleotides. RefSeq lists it as uncharacterized. The transcript has 7 exons. The record is from RefSeq and is a predicted model, not a curated record. NCBI's taxonomy places the organism in Eukaryota, Viridiplantae, Streptophyta, Magnoliopsida, Caryophyllales, Amaranthaceae.